This 497-nucleotide ribosomal RNA is filed under the name uncultured bacterium. RNAcentral's name for it is "partial 16S ribosomal RNA". It matches the Rfam family "Bacterial small subunit ribosomal RNA", at positions 28 to 507 of the family's 1533-position model. The record is from RNAcentral.
GAUGAACGCUGGCGGCGUGCCUAAUACAUGCAAGUCGAGCGAACGGACGAGAAGCUUGCUUCUCUGAUGUUAGCGGCGGACGGGUGAGUAACACGUGGAUAACCUACCUAUAAGACUGGGAUAACUUCGGGAAACCGUAGCUAAUACCGGAUAAUAUUUUGAACCGCAUGGUUCAAAAGUGAAAGACGGUCUUGCUGUCACUUAUAGAUGGAUCCGCGCUGCAUUAGCUAGUUGGUAAGGUAACGGCUUACCAGGGCAACGAUGCAUAGCCGACCUGAGAGGGUGAUCGGCCACACUGGAACUGAGACACGGUCCAGACUCCUACGGGAGGCAGCAGUAGGGAAUCUUCCGCAAAGGGCGAAAGCCUGACGGAGCAACGCCGCGUGAGUGAUGAAGGUCUUCGGAUCGUAAAACUCUGUUAUUAGGGAAGAACAUAUGUGUAAGUAACUGUGCACAUCUUGACGGUACCUAAUCAGAAAGCCACGGCUAACUACGUG